AUUGAACGCUGGCGGCAUGCCUUACACAUGCAAGUCGAACGGUAACAGGUCUUCGGAUGCUGACGAGUGGCGAACGGGUGAGUAAUACAUCGGAACGUGCCCGAUCGUGGGGGCUAACUACGCGAAAGAGUAGCUAAUACCGCAUACGAUCUACGGAUGAAAGCGGGGGAGCUUCGGACGUCGUGCGGACGGAGCGGCCGAUGGAAGAUUAAGUAGUUGGUGGGAUAAAAGCUUACCAAGCCGAGGAUCUGUAGCUGGUCCGAGAGGACGACCAGCCACACUGGGACUGAGAGACGGCCCAGACUCCUACGGGAGGCAGCAGUGGGGAAUUUUGGACAAUGGGCGAAAGCCUGAUCCAGCAAUGCCGCGUGCAGGAUGAAGGCCUUCGGGUUGUAAACUGCUUUUGUACGGAACGAAAAGACUCCUUCUAAUACAGGGGGUCCAUGACGGUACCGUAAGAAUAAGCACCGGCUAACUACGUGCCAGCAGCCGCCGUAA
This 498-nucleotide ribosomal RNA is filed under the name uncultured bacterium. RNAcentral's name for it is "partial 16S ribosomal RNA". It matches the Rfam family "Bacterial small subunit ribosomal RNA", at positions 30 to 523 of the family's 1533-position model. The record is from RNAcentral.